CGCAGUUCCCGUUUGAUACCGGAUAAAGCAAAUCUUGGUUUUCGUUUCCUUGUGAUGGACCUGGAAGAGGGGGUACAAUGAGCUUAUCCAUGCGGUUAUGCACUCUUGUAAUAGGAAUCCGUUUUCUGAAAGAUCCUGGAUUUCGUACUUUGGUGGGUCUCCGAGAUCCUUUCGAUGACCUAUGUUGAAGGGAUAUCUAUCUAAUCCGAUCGAUUGCGUAAAGCCCGCGGUAGCAACGAUCCUGGAUUUCGUACUUUGGUGGGUCUCCGAGAUCCUUUCGAUGACCUAUGUUGAAGGGAUAUCUAUCUAAUCCGA
This 315-nucleotide long non-coding RNA is filed under the name Nicotiana benthamiana. Its description in RNAcentral is "long non-coding RNA (NBEN_LNC011148)". The record is from RNAcentral. Lineage: Eukaryota; Viridiplantae; Streptophyta; Magnoliopsida; Solanales; Solanaceae.